Canis lupus familiaris (dog) is the source of this 415-nucleotide long non-coding RNA. RefSeq lists it as uncharacterized. The transcript is spliced from 2 exons. NCBI's taxonomy places the organism in Eukaryota, Metazoa, Chordata, Mammalia, Carnivora, Canidae. The record is from RefSeq and is a predicted model, not a curated record.
AAGGAAAAAGAAGACCUGAACUUCACUCUGACGUCUCUCAGUGAUGUCUCUUCUGGGACUGGGAUGCUUGAGCCCAGAGCUGAACUCAAGGUGAAUAGCACCAUGGCCAAGAAUGUUCCCAGCAACAUUGUUUGCAAGAGCUGAACCAGGUAAACAACCCACACGUCCACCAGCAGAUGAAUGAAUCAACAGAUGGUUAUCUCUUCAUGCCAGGGAAUAUUAUACAGCAAUAAGAAUGCAUGAACUCCAGCCGCACAUUGAUGAGUCUGAGAGACAUACUGUUGCCAGAAAGAAGCAAGUCUCAGAAGGUUACAUACUGUGUGAUGCCAUUUAAAAGAACUAAAACAAAAGCAAAACUAAACAAUAGGUGUUGUAAGCAUACACAUAUGAAAUAAAAAUUUUUUAAAAGAAAAAA